CCUCGCCCGUGCUGCCGACACGGUCGCCGCGAAGAGCGAGCUUUUAGCUGCCCGAUACACUAGCUCCUCUCGAUUAGGCUCACGAAACGUGAUCACCUUACUUUCGCAAUCUAUCGCGGCAUAAUACUUGGAGAGCCAAUUGGUCCCCAAGAUCACGUCGAAACCCCACAUUCGAUUCAACACCAACAAGUCGAUCGGCAUGACCCAAUCACCUAUCUGCACUGGGCACGCUACACACUCUUCGUGAACAUGAAAAGUAUGCUCGAC
This 267-nucleotide long non-coding RNA is filed under the name Ananas comosus (pineapple). RNAcentral's name for it is "long non-coding RNA (ACOM_LNC031401)". The record is from RNAcentral. Lineage: Eukaryota; Viridiplantae; Streptophyta; Magnoliopsida; Poales; Bromeliaceae.